RNAcentral lists this ribosomal RNA (447 nucleotides) under uncultured bacterium. RNAcentral describes it as "SSU rRNA". It matches the Rfam family "Bacterial small subunit ribosomal RNA", at positions 26 to 518 of the family's 1533-position model. The record is from RNAcentral.
AGAGCGAACGCUGGCGGCAGGCUUAACACAUGCAAGUCGAGCGGGCGUAGCAAUACGUCAGCGGCAGACGGGUGAGUAACGCGUGGGAACAUACCUUUUGGUUCGGAACAACACAGGGAAACUUGUGCUAAUACCGGAUAAGCCCUUACGGGGAAAGAUUUAUCGCCGAAAGAUUGGCCCGCGUCUGAUUAGCUAGUUGGUGAGGUAACGGCUCACCAAGGCGACGAUCAGUAGCUGGUCUGAGAGGAUGAUCAGCCACAUUGGGACUGAGACACGGCCCAAACUCCUACGGGAGGCAGCAGUGGGGAAUAUUGGACAAUGGGCGCAAGCCUGAUCCAGCCAUGCCGCGUGAGUGAUGAAGGCCCUAGGGUUGUAAAGCUCUUUGUGCGGGAAGAUAAUGACGGUACCGCAAGAAUAAGCCCCGGCUAACUUCGUGCCAGCAGCCGC